UUUUUUUUUUUUUUGUCGUCUGAUUUAUUGUUGCUCUGCUCAUGUCAGCCUCGAGUGUUGCUUAAAUAGAAAUUAAUGGCAACAAUUUAUGGAGCAAUUCAGUUUUUAGUCGAGUAGUUUAACAAAUUAUAAAUCUCUAAACGAUUUACAAGUUGUGAGAGGUUUUUUUGCUAUUAAAUAAACUAGAUAGAAGUGCAAUAUAAUAUGUGCACAUAGUUUUCAUUAUUGCAUAUUAAAUAUAAUAUAAUAAUAUUUCAAAAAGGUAGAAGUUGAGGUCGAGGCUGAUUUUCAUUGCGAACCCUUUCAGCUUGAGCUUGUUUACUAUAUAGAUAACAUAUGAAAUUCAGGUUGAAUUAAAAGUAAAAAAAAAAAAAAAAAAAAAACUAAAUUUGAAUAUGGAAUAGAAUUUUUAUAGAGUCUAUAUUGAAGGUUAUGUAGGCUACUAGGGUGUGAUCCGAGAAAAGGGCAUCACUUUUUCAAAAACUAUAUUUUAUUCUAGAGGCUAUUAAAAAAUUUUAGCUCAGUGAAUAUAGCAUCAGGAAUAAGCUCCUCAGACGAAAAGCUAGAAAACUCUUGACAUUUUUUAUAUAAAUAUCUCGAUGAAUACGAAUGAUAUGAACGAUGUGCAGAAAAUAAAGCCCAUAUUGAAGAAGACACGGAAAUUUUCGACAGCAGAAAUUAGAAGACCAAUGAGUGGUCGGAGCAACCUCGGCUGUUUCUUUUCCUUGCACUGCUUUUGUAUGGUCACCAAGUAAUGCAGAGCCUCAGUUAGCUUAUCUUACCACAUCAACUAUAAACUUUGAGAUGAGCUCCUCCAAAUUGAAGCCGGCUGUCAGUUUCAGGCGCAGGCCAAACAACUAGAAUAAAAAGUUCAGCACGGCAAACGCAAUUGUCGUGUCAGCAGCAACAGGCAGCAGCAGGAGGAGCAACAGCAGCAGCAGCAGCAGCAACAACGAAAUUCAAAUAAUUUGAUGAGAAAUUUUUAAUUAACCAAACGCUCGCUCGUAGCUGCCUUUACACUGGCUCUGUGUGUGUUUGUUUUUGGUUGGGCGUUGCUCGCCGCAAAACGCAAAUACUACAGUCGAGGCAAAAUUAAUUUGCCCAGUGCAAAUACUAUGCAAAAAUUCUCACUGUGUGUGUGUAUGUGUGUGUGCGGCGUCAUAAAUUUUACAGCUGUGCGAGAGCAAAACCCCAACCAUGCCAGCCAAAUAACACAAAUUUUUCGCUGACGAGCGAGCAAAGUCAAGCAUAGUGCAAAUAUAAACAGAGCCAAGCACACACAGACACACACUCACACACACACAUGCACAUGCAGAGUGUGUGCAGUGCAAGUCAUCAGGCAAGCUGCUGGGAGUUUCAGUUCCAGUUGCCAAGCUCGAGUCUCAGCCAAUUGCCACAAUGAGGCGGCGGCGGCUGCUGCUGCUGCUGCUGUGUGGUGUUUCCAAGAAAUUUCACCUGCCAUGGCAGCCCUAGACAUCACACACAUACAUACACACACAUGCACACUCGUGAGCACAUAUUUAGUGGUAUUAUGGCCUGGCUAGCUUACGUCGUAGCUGACGUCUAUGACUGCCAAAUACUCGUAGUGCCAUUUGCCACUUGCCACUUGCUGUCGUCAGUGGCACAGCCACAUCCACAUCCACAUUCACAGCCACAUGUAGAGCCAGUACUACAGCUCUAGCUAGUGCCACUGCCGCUGCCAGUUGCAGUUGCUGGGAGUUAGUUACCCAGCAGGCGCUGUCAUAAACAAUCUCAUUUUGCUAGCCAAGCGAACCCAGUGAACAACAUUAAUGAGACAAGUUGCUGCAACUAGGGCGAGAAUGGAGUUUUCAAAACUAAUUAAAACAUUAAAUGAAAUUGAAUUUAACCUAUAUAUAAACUAGAGCAGUAUAACUCAAAUAGA
Drosophila mojavensis is the source of this 1903-nucleotide long non-coding RNA. RefSeq lists it as uncharacterized. The transcript is spliced from 4 exons. Lineage: Eukaryota; Metazoa; Arthropoda; Insecta; Diptera; Drosophilidae. The record is from RefSeq and is a predicted model, not a curated record.